Long non-coding RNA from Canis lupus familiaris (dog), 1699 nucleotides. RefSeq lists it as uncharacterized. NCBI's taxonomy places the organism in Eukaryota, Metazoa, Chordata, Mammalia, Carnivora, Canidae. The record is from RefSeq and is a predicted model, not a curated record. The transcript is spliced from 5 exons.
AUCAGAGCUCACAGCGUGAGCGGGCGGCGAUCGCGAGCCGGGGGUGGAGGUGCAAAGGCUCCUCGGAAGAGGCUGGUCGCUCAGGGGUUAACGCCAACCUUUCCCUUGAGCGCGGCCUCUGUAGUAGCUAAUGAAGCCCAUCAUCCAAGGAGAACAGGCCAUGCAGUGGAAAAUUACAGUUUUCUAGUAAGACAAACCAACCACAGCUUUGGAGUUUUCGUUUUAGAGUAAGCACGCAUGUCACCCAAGAAGAGAAAUGCCAGCAGGAUCUAGAAGUCACCCAAUGCCACUGAAAAGACGUAAGGACCUGACAAAGCUGUAAGCUUCCAAAGGUCUCAAAAGACUGCAGUCACCUCUACAUAUCCUGGUAAUUGGAGCGCAUGGCAGGGCAUCAGCAGGCCAAGGUCAGCCAGAGGUCAUGGCCCCUCUGCUGAUGGGUUCCAUAAUGGUCCAGAUAAUGCAUACUUGGGGGAGAGAGCUGACACAACUACAUAAAGAGAUGGAGAAGAGGAUGCAAAGCUGGCUCACAGCAGAUUGGAAAACGUGGCCUUGGCUGACAUCAGAAUUCCUCUUAGGAAGAGAACAGUCUUUUUGAGGAAAAUAUCCUUGAUAAGGCACCUGUGGAGAAGGUGAGAUGCCAAGGGCAUGUGUCAGAAGGAAACAAAGAAAGUAGCUGAACUGAAAUGCAUUCAAAACAGAUUGGAAUCUGAGGGAGGCAGACAAGUAAGGAAGAAAGGGCAAGAGUAUAAGAGAGUCUUGGAAAAUGGUAAGAAACAGGAACUGAGUUGAAAAAGGAGCCAAGUGGUGAUGUGGGAAUGCUCCCAUCCUACCAAAGUGCCAGUAAUCUACACACCGCACACACGCACCACCCUGGCAUGAGUGGUUCGUCUGAAGAAGGAAAAGGAAGACGGCCUCAUUCCUUGGCUGCAUCAUACAUCCCAGACGACAGAGGGGUGUGGAGACAAUUUCCAAGAUGAAAUGAUUCAGCAGAAGCAGGAGCUUGCAGGACAAAGGGAACCACAGGGAUGCAUAAGCUCUUUGGAAAUCUGCAGAGGAAACUUGGACCUACAUUCGCCAGGCAACCUUGAGAAGCAUACCUCCUUUCUGACCCUCGGUCUCCUCACCUGAAAAUGGCAAUGACUAAGAGCCACUUCAAAUGAUAAAAUGAUUAAAUGAGAAAUAUCAAUAAAAUAUUUUUGAAAAUGCCCAUCCAGAAAUCCUACUCAGGCCAGUUAAAAUCAGAAUAAUGAAACACCAGGGCUCCUGCAGGCCUGCAGCCCCCGGGCCUUUCUCAGCUGGCUUCCCAGGACAUACAACCAAGGCAAUGUCAGCCUCCCAGCCACCCACCUCCAGGCGCCCCCAGGUACUUGCCCCGGAAUCGGGCAGCAGGAUCAGAGCCAAAGUCCAUACCAGACCCACAGCCGAAGGAGAAAAAGUGCCCAGCCUCCCCGGGGAGUGCCCGCCACAGGGAAGGGACGCUUUGCUUCCUGAAGAUGAUUUCUGACACGCUUUGACUCUAUAAAAGGCCCAUCAGCUGGUGCAUCUCCUUCUUCGGCCACUUGCCAGUCCUGGUUAUAAACCCACAGCUUCUCCCUUCAGAGUGCAAUAACUACAAUAUCCUAAUAAUGAACAAAACCAAUAUCAGUGACACUGCCUGGAAAUAAAUGUUACCACUUAGAUUCUAAUAAAAGAGAAGUUG